This 789-nucleotide ribosomal RNA is filed under the name uncultured bacterium. Its description in RNAcentral is "bacterial SSU rRNA". It matches the Rfam family "Bacterial small subunit ribosomal RNA", at positions 8 to 796 of the family's 1533-position model. The record is from RNAcentral.
AGAGUUUGAUCAUGGCUCAGAUUGAACGCUGGCGGCAUGCCUUACACAUGCAAGUCGAACGGCAGCGCGGGGCAACCUGGCGGCGAGUGGCGAACGGGUGAGUAAUAUAUCGGAACGUACCCUAGAGUGGGGGAUAACGUAGCGAAAGUUACGCUAAUACCGCAUACGAUCUAUGGAUGAAAGUGGGGGAUCGCAAGACCUCAUGCUCCUGGAGCGGCCGAUAUCUGAUUAGCUAGUUGGUGGGGUAAAGGCCUACCAAGGCAUCGAUCAGUAGCUGGUCUGAGAGGACGACCAGCCACACUGGAACUGAGACACGGUCCAGACUCCUACGGGAGGCAGCAGUGGGGAAUUUUGGACAAUGGGCGAAAGCCUGAUCCAGCAAUGCCGCGUGAGUGAAGAAGGCCUUCGGGUUGUAAAGCUCUUUUGUCAGGGAAGAAACGGUGAGUUCUAAUACAGCUUGCUAAUGACGGUACCUGAAGAAUAAGCACCGGCUAACUACGUGCCAGCAGCCGCGGUAAUACGUAGGGUGCAAGCGUUAAUCGGAAUUACUGGGCGUAAAGCGUGCGCAGGCGGUUAUGUAAGACAGAUGUGAAAUGCCCGGGCUUAACCUGGGAACUGCAUUUGUGACUGCAUGGCUAGAAUCUGGCAGAGGGGGGUAGAAUUCCACGUAGCAGUGAAAUGCGUAGAGAUGUGGAGGAACACCGAUGGCGAAGGCAGCCCCCUGGGUCAAGAUUGACGCUCAUGCACGAAAGCGUGGGGAGCAAACAGGAUUAGAUACCCUAGUAGUCC